Long non-coding RNA from Rosa chinensis, 2533 nucleotides. RefSeq lists it as uncharacterized. The transcript is spliced from 13 exons. The record is from RefSeq and is a predicted model, not a curated record. NCBI's taxonomy places the organism in Eukaryota, Viridiplantae, Streptophyta, Magnoliopsida, Rosales, Rosaceae.
UUCAUCUAACAGUGAUUUGGCUCCAAGUGGAGUGACGCCUUUGCCCUCGCUUUUCUCCUACAAUUUCACCUUCGUAUUGGUGUCUGAAAUGAUGUCAGCCGGGCAUAUGCGUCUUUAGGCAGUAGAAGACGCCCCAUUCUUCCGUGAUCUUCUCAUUCGAUUGCUGCCAGAACAAUCCAGAGAUCAAUUAUCAAGAACGAUUGAGAGAGAGAGAGAGAGAGAGAGAGAAAUAGGGUUUGUUUCUUUGCUUUGCACGAAGAGAUAGAGAGAUCCAAGGGAAAUUCUCACCUCAUCAUCUCAGCACGAGGUCGAUUACUCUUUAUCACGAGAGUGAUUGUAAAGGUUUUUAUUUGGUGGUUUGUAACAAAUCUCUUCUUAGCUUUCAUCACCAACCAUAAAUACUUGGGUUCGUCAUCAGCAAGACUGCUUCGCCUGAAGAUUAGAAGAAAGCCACCAUUAAGGACCAUCAGGAUAAGGGCGGAGCUCCACGAAGAGAAUUGGCGUUUGAUCAUCUCGGCACGAGGUAAUUCAGCUUCCUCGAAGAGAUACAAAGCUCAAGCUUUCUGGACAUGACGACUUUCUUCAUUUUAAGAGAAUUAAGGUUGGGUACCUGCAUAUGAGGAUUCUUGGCAACAUCAGCUCCUCAAAUUUGUUAGAUCAUGCCAAGCGAUUUGUAUAAUCUCAAGUCCAGGACAUAAGUAGCAGAACCUGUACAAGGUUUAGGAUGGUAGCGUUGGCAGACAUUCAUUGAUUGUAGGGUUUGAUAUAUACAGAAAGUUUAUGUUGCAUUUCAUGAUGAAUGCUGGGGAGUUCCAUCAAUUGUUUGAGCUGCGUGCUCUGUCUGGGAUGUUGAUGGACCACAAUUGGACUGAAAUUGGGAAAAGAAGGGAGCUGCUCAGGGAAGCCUUUUCGGCAUUUGAUCCAAACACAGUUGCCAAAUGGGGGAGGAAGAGAUUGAAGAGAUAAACUGCUGUUAUAGGAGUUAGUGGAAAAGUUGUGGACAGUGGUCUGAAUGAUCAUAUCUUCAUAUACUGUUCCAAUCAUGGUGGUCUGGAGUACUGGGGGCUUCCAUCAGUUUCUUCUUUCUUUUACGGCCUUCUGUUGGUUUCUCUCUUCCUCCCUUCUGCCCUGGUUUAUUAAGCUAUCGCCAUCACUCAGUAUGACAUCGAAGAAGUACAGCAACACUGCAACCACAGAUUUUCGCAGCAGAAGAUAGUUUCUCUGUACGAGAGGUUCUGUCAGCUCAAUCGCAGUGGCAGAGGUUUCAUCUUCGCCGACGAGUUUUUUGUCCGUACCGGAAUUCACAGUCAAUCCUCUCUCUCAGAUACUGGGGGAGAUAUGGAGCAAGACCACACUUGCUCUUAGGAGAUGCUUCUGUAUCAACACCCAAUUUCCUUUUCUCAUCAGAGAGAUUUGAUCAAACAACAAAGCUACGUAGUUUUGGGGUGAAUUCAGAAAGAUAUUCAAGGGAGGAUUGAGAAAGAACAAGCGGUUCUUUGCUUUGCUCAGCUCACUGGCAUUGGUUACAAUUAUGAGUUCAAUUGCGUCUGAAUUUGGUUUGAAUGUUGGAGCUUUUGGGAUUAAUUUGGGUUUGUUUCUGUUGACAACUACAGAUGCAGAGAGGGAAACUCUAUGUUGGAGAUUAUGUGGCGAUGAAGGGGUUCUCUGCUUUGCUUAUCAGCAUUGCAACAUUUCUCCCAUGUUGUGAGAGUCAUGGAUAAAUGUUGCUUCAGAGAAUAAAGAUGGUUUUUCCUUUUCACAGAGAUGAAGGAGCCGGUGAUAGUUUUUCUUGGAGAAAUUGAGCUCAUUUGAACAAAUAGGAAUAUCCGAUUGAGCUGGCACCCAUUUGAUCAAAUUGGGGGAUUUGAUUGAGCAAUCAGAGAUCUUUGAAGGAUUGAGCUCUGGUGUGAUUGUGGAAUCCCUGAAGGUGGUUAGCUUGCAAGGAUUUGCCUCAAUUUUGGAGCGUAACCUCUGCAGAAUUGUGAGUCAAAUUUUGACUAUUUACUGAUUAUAGUUGAAUUUUGGUUGAGACUAGAUGUGGUUAGAUGAAUCUCUUCAAUAUGUUUAUCAAUUCAGUGAAGCAUCAUCUUGCUUUUAAUAGUUCUGUUAUUCAAAUACUCAUGUCAUUCAUUCAUCAAAAUUUUUUUAUCAUUAUUUUUAAAUUUUUUUUCUCUAAAUAGAGAUUUAGAGACAAACCUUCAAGGGCUGAAGCAAGAUCGCAAACCUGUUGUGUUUCAUUUUCUCUAUUUAGACCUUUGGGGUGUAUUAGAACACAGAAGGUCCUAAAAUUCUUGAGUUUAGUUAUGGUCUAUAUUCAGUAUUCAGAUUGGUUUAGAUGGAUUUAGUUGUUUUGUACCACAGAGGUAGUAAGUGUGUGUUUGGGAAUGUCUCUGAAAUGAAAGUGCUUUUGGGUUUAAUGUCAAAUGAAUUUGGAAUAUGUUAUCUGCAUUGUUUUGCUCGCUUUGAACAUUAUCAUGAUAGAGUGGUUUAAUGUCAAAUGAAUUUGGAGCAAGUUGUUCACAGUGACAAAUUC